This 497-nucleotide ribosomal RNA is filed under the name uncultured bacterium. RNAcentral's name for it is "partial 16S ribosomal RNA". It matches the Rfam family "Bacterial small subunit ribosomal RNA", at positions 28 to 507 of the family's 1533-position model. The record is from RNAcentral.
GAUGAACGCUGGCGGCGUGCCUAAUACAUGCAAGUCGAGCGAACAGACGAGGAGCUUGCUCCUCGGACGUUAGCGGCGGACGGGUGAGUAACACGUGGAUAACCUACCUAUAAGACUGGGAUAACUUCGGGAAACCGGAGCUAAUACCGGAUAAUAUAUUGAACCGCAUGGUUCAAGAGUGAAAGACGGUUUUGCUGUCACUUAUAGAUGGAUCCGCGCCGCAUUAGCUAGUUGGUAAGGUAACGGCUUACCAAGGCAACGAUGCGUAGCCGACCUGAGAGGGUGAUCGGCCACACUGGAACUGAGACACGGUCCAGACUCCUACGGGAGGAAGCAGUAGGGAAUCUUCCGCUAUGGGCGAAAGCUUGACGGAGCAACGCCGCGUGAGUGAUGAAGGUAUUCGGAUCGUAAAACUCUGUUAUUAGGGAAGAACAAAUGUGUAAGUAACUAUGCACGUCUUGACGGUACCUAGUCAGAAAGCCACGGCUAACUACGUG